UAAUGAAAAUAACAAAAUAAAAGUUCUUGCAUUUUUAAAAUAACCUCAUUUAGGCUAUAAGUUAUUAGGGAAGAACGGUGCCAGCAACAAGUCUGUUAGCUUGUAAAUAGGAAAAGAUCAGUAGAAGACUCAAUAUCAUAAUAAUAAACAAGAUGGAUUUCUUCAGAGAUGCAUUCCGUCAAUACUCUCACCACCGUGCUCUGUGGCCUCUCAUAGGAUCAUGCAUGCUUGCAUCUUCAUUCACAACUUACAUCUUAAUUCGUUCAAGCAAGAAACAAGAAGUUGAAUGGAACAGAUACGCUGAUCGGUCAAACAAGGAAGCUAUAAUAGAAGACGCAAUAGCACGUCCAAUGCAAAGAGUUCAGGCCAUUUCUGUCAACACUAAGGCCUAUCAAACUCGACCACCUACUGUCCCACUUCUCCAGGUCAUUUAUGAAGAUGGAGAAUACAAUUACCCAAAGAACAGAUCAGCAUAAGGCGUAUAAGACAACGAUGUACGAUCAUAAGAAGAUGUUAAUGAAUGUUAUUAAAUUAUAAUUUUCCGAUGAAAAAUCAACAUUUUUAUUUAUUCUGACAGCAUAAAAUACCGAUAAUUUCGCAUUAAUUCAAUAUAACUUAUUCAGAAUAAAAAGGUUUCCAUUUUAUUUCAAGUAAAACAUUCAUCCACUGAUUAUUUUAUUCAACUUUCGACCAGAUUGGUUUAUUUUUAUUGACUUUUAUUCUCACUGUUCAUCAUCACUUUAGUUUGAUAAUAUGACAAUUAAACUGUAUUGAAUGCAUGAAA
Non-coding RNA from Styela clava, 784 nucleotides. Lineage: Eukaryota; Metazoa; Chordata; Ascidiacea; Stolidobranchia; Styelidae. The record is from RefSeq and is a predicted model, not a curated record.